This 251-nucleotide ribosomal RNA is filed under the name uncultured prokaryote. RNAcentral's name for it is "partial 16S rRNA". It matches the Rfam family "Bacterial small subunit ribosomal RNA", at positions 525 to 775 of the family's 1533-position model. The record is from RNAcentral.
ACGGAGGGUGCAAGCGUUAAUCGGAAUCACUGGGCGUAAAGCGCGCGUAGGCCGCCUUUUAAGUCGGACGUGAAAGCCCUCGGCUCAACCGAGGAACUGCGUUCGAAACUGGGAGACUUGAGUCCUGGAGAGGGUGGCGGAAUUCCGGGUGUAGCGGUGAAAUCCGUAGAUAUCCGGCGGAACACCGGUGGCGAAGGCAGCCACCUGGACCGGUACUGACGCUGAUGCGCGAAAGCGUGGGGAGCAAACAG